Molecule: long non-coding RNA, 300 nt
Filed under: Cyanistes caeruleus (blue tit)
Lineage: Eukaryota; Metazoa; Chordata; Aves; Passeriformes; Paridae
Description: lncRNA (ENSCCEG00000000053.1)
Source: RNAcentral
UUUGAUCUUUUCUAUGAAUUUCCUAUUUUCUUGAGUUCACAAGAAGCAAACCAGAAAAAUAUAGGAAGGCAAUUUCUAUGAAUGACAGAUGACAUUAGUAUGAAAUGUCUAGAUUUUCAUAUAUCUGUCUGGUUUUUCCCUUUUAGAGAUGCAAUAAAGUGGGGCUUAAAUGCAUCCUACACAUUGAGAGCCCUGUAUAUAUCAGUACUGCUGAAGCCACACAGGACCUCCUGCAACCCACGGCUUUUCUGUGUUUCCCCAUUGCACUGUGUGCCUGAAGCAGAAAACCUGAGUGUGUGA